RNAcentral lists this ribosomal RNA (444 nucleotides) under uncultured bacterium. RNAcentral describes it as "partial 16S ribosomal RNA". It matches the Rfam family "Bacterial small subunit ribosomal RNA", at positions 28 to 505 of the family's 1533-position model. The record is from RNAcentral.
GAUGAACGCUGGCGGCGUGCUUAACACAUGCAAGUCGAACGGAAAACCCGUGAAACUGUGUUUCCCUUGGCGGGCGGGUGAGUAACGAGUACGAACGUGCCCUUGGCAGGGGUACAGGAGCUGGUAACGGCUGCUAGUAUCCCGUCGGCUAAGAGGCCAAGGGGGGAAUCCGCCCGAGGAGGGGCUCGCGUCUGAUUAACGAGGUGGUGGGGCAAUAGCUUGCCAAGGCGAUGGUCAGUGGCUGGUCCGAGGGGAUGCUCAGCCGCACUGGGACUGAGACACGGCCCCGACUCCUACGGGAGGCAGCAGUAGGGUGUUCUACGCAAUGAGCGAAAGCGUGACGGAGCAACGCGGCGGGGAGGUGGAAGGGGGUCGUAUCGUGCACUUCUUUGCGCGGAGAAGAAGCAAUGACGGUAUCGGAAGAAAACGCAUCGUCUAUCCCUG